GGAGAAGCCUGAGGGAGGAACCUGCCCUGGCACUGUGGAGGAUCUGGGAGAGCUCCAGCCCUGCUGGAGCUGAGCCCCCCGGGCAGCCCCAUGGACUCUCCCCACCUCCUGCACUUGGGAUUCCUGCUCCUGGCUCUUGCUGCUCCCCCUCCAAGUAUUGCCAUGUCCAAUGUUGACCCUACUAAGGGGACACAAGGCAGCACAACUAUGGCAGUCUACUACUGUAAGGACUAUGAAAGCUGCAAAUGCAAGAAUGGGAAAAUCAAUUUUGAAAACUUUACAAAAAUCGCUGAAAUAAAAAACAAGAUAAAUAUUAUUCCAGAUGUAACAGUUGAGUUGGUGACCAACAAAUCACAUAUCACUGUUUGCUUUGAGCAAGCAAAUUCCCAUCUUGAAGGAAUUUAUGGCAUCUUCUCGGAUGAAACUGAUCCACCAAAACUCUGGUGUGGCAUCCUGAAUUCUGGAGGGUUUUUUUGGCAACAGCCAUUCCCAUGAUGAAAUUGUGUGCCACGUUGCAAUGUGUGAAUCCCACCUGCUUCAGCCAGAACACACCCAGAGCCAGGUCCAGCCUCAAGAGCUACUCUGUGCUGCUCUUCUGUCCAAUUCAAUAAACACCCAGGAGCAUCUUUCCA
Molecule: long non-coding RNA, 632 nt
Filed under: Serinus canaria (Common canary)
Lineage: Eukaryota; Metazoa; Chordata; Aves; Passeriformes; Fringillidae
Description: lncRNA (ENSSCAG00000003337.1)
Source: RNAcentral